Molecule: ribosomal RNA, 492 nt
Filed under: uncultured bacterium
Lineage: Bacteria
Description: partial 16S ribosomal RNA
Rfam family: Bacterial small subunit ribosomal RNA
Source: RNAcentral
AGUGAACGCUGGCGGUAGGCCUAACACAUGCCAGUCGAACGGCAGCACGGUAAGAGCUUGCUCUUACGGGUGGCGAGUGGCGGACGGGUGAGGAAUACAUCGGAAUCUACUUUUUCGUGGGGGAUAACGUAGGGAAACUUACGCUAAUACCGCAUACGACCUACGGGUGAAAGCAGGGGAUCUUCGGACCUUGCGCGAUUGAAUGAGCCGAUGUCGGAUUAGCUAGUUGGCGGGGUAAAGGCCCACCAAGGCGACGAUCCGUAGCCGGUCUGAGAGGAUGAUCAGCCACACUGGAACUGAGACACGGUCCAGACUCCUACGGGAGGCAGCAGUGGGGAAUAUUGGACAAUGGGCGCAAGCCUGAUCCAGCCAUACCGCGUGGGUGAAGAAGGCCUUCGGGUUGUAAAGCCCUUUUGUUGGGAAAGAAAAGCAGCAGGUUAAUACCCCGCUGUUCUGACGGUACCCAAAGAAUAAGCACCGGCUAACUUCGUG